AUUGAUACGUACGAAAAAAUAUUUGGCAAAAAUGCAUAUUGAACAACUACGAACAUUUUGGGGACCAAAAACACAUUGGAUAUACAGAUAUAGAUAUUCUGGACAAGGAAAUAAUAUUCAGACUUGUUCCACAUUGGACUUUUUAAGAACCACACUGGCGAUGGCAGUUGGAGAUGGACAGACAACUCUGUGUUAGUGUAUAACAACUGGCUACCGAGUUCACAAAGAAUGGAUGGACCGUUUACCGGCCUAAACAUGGUUUACGAUGGAGUGUCUAGUUACUGGAGACAAGUAUAUGAUUUCGAGAUGUUACGUUAUAUCUGCGAGAAACCAUAGGUGUAUGUCAAACUGAGACCUUUUUCCCCUCUUUCGUGAGGUUCCGUAAUGCGGUGUUCAACUACGAAGAUACACGGACUUUUCGCCGAAAAAAUAUUUGCUUACAGACUUUUCGCGAUAGACUGUUCUAAUCCUGAGCUUAAAUCUGAAUAUGACCUAUGUAUGUCUAAAUCUCAGCCAAAACCUAUUAUUAACUCUUAACAAUCAGUCAUUUAACAGCCUAUCGGCUAAACGUCUUUCGGCGAAAGUUUUACAAAUCGAAAGACUUAAGUUAAGACGCACUCUCAGCUGUUACAAUAAAAAGACAAAAUAUUUUUGGUAUAUUUUAGACAAAAUUAAUGAUAAAACAUUUUUAAAUUAUAUAUAUCAAAAACCAACUUAAUGGCAUAUGACAAAUGACUGUCAAAAUGACCAUAUGUUUUACAUGCAAUCAAACACUCGUUAUCACACUAACAAACAAUCCACAUUUAAAUUUAAAUUAUAGUCUAGUAAUCAA
Molecule: unclassified non-coding RNA, 832 nt
Filed under: Gigantopelta aegis
Lineage: Eukaryota; Metazoa; Mollusca; Gastropoda; Neomphalida; Peltospiridae
Description: cD302 antigen-like, transcript variant X2
Source: RNAcentral